Molecule: long non-coding RNA, 1335 nt
Organism: Cynara cardunculus var. scolymus (artichoke)
Lineage: Eukaryota; Viridiplantae; Streptophyta; Magnoliopsida; Asterales; Asteraceae
Exons: 3
Source: RefSeq, a predicted model, not a curated record
GUUUGGUUCUUGGUGCUGUCCGACUGUGGUCUUGGUUCCAGAUCGAGAUCGAAUAAAAAGACUAAAAUAAUCUUGAAUUUAACUGGUGAACGGAGAGGAUGACCUAAUGAGUACCAUCCUUAUAUUUUGUUUUUUUGAUUUUGGGACUGGUGAAUCACGGAGACCAAACCCGUAAUUUGCUGAUAUUAUUCUAUCAGAAAAUCAGCAAUAAGAUAUUGGAAUCGAUAUGACCAUCCCAAGUAUAAUUUCCGAGAUUUCUAUAAUGGAAUCGAAUACGAUCAUCCGAAAAUCAUGCCGUUGGAGAUCAGCUCAGCAUAAUCAACUAAUACAAGGACCAACCCAUAACUCCAUUUGAAGUUAUUCAAUAAUUAUCAUCUUUCUUUUCAAAUUGGCGAAGUUAGGGUUUGAAUGCGUUUUCUAUUCAUCUUCCUCAGGUUUACGGCAGCGCGUACGAUCAACAUCCAGUUUAUCUACUUAUUUAUAUAAUAUGGUUUGUCAGGUUAUUCGCUAAUUUCUUGUUGUUUGGGAUAUCGACAGCAAGACAGAUGAUCGUUGACACUUGACAGUGAACCUGGUCUCUCCAAAAUGAGAUGUGCGAUUUUAUGAAUCAAGGGGAUUUGAUGUAUCACAACCUCAUUGAUACAUAUAACUCCCUCCUUCCUGUUGAUUUAAUCUCACAGGUUCUUCAAAACCCUAGAAUAUGGAGGUAUGCUCUUCAAAACAAUAUUGAUUUCUAUUUCAAUUUUGAUUUCUGCAACCAGAUGAGAUUUUAACUUCCUUUCUCUUCUUUUUGGUUUAACCGAUUGAUGAAGCAAGGCUAUUUACAACUUAGAGAUCACGAACUGCUGUUGCUCCUUUGGAACGAUGGAGAAUUCUUCUCCAGGUGGGUACUUUAUCUAAUUUCUUUUCUUUUGGUUCCAUUUGCAAGUAAACACAUAUUCUGUCAUAUUCCCAUUUGCAAGUAAACACAUUUUGUUCAACUUGCUUAAAAAUACCACUUGAUGUACAUUGCUGAAAUUUGAAAAUCAUGGACAAGCGUUACAGAUCAGGAGUUGGAAUGUUAAUAAUCUUAAAGGUGUAUAAGGAAUUAAAAAUCUUCAACAUGAGAUAAAAGAAUCAUGACAAACCAAGCAACAGUGUUUAAAUUUUAACUAUGCAAAAGUGACCCCUUCAAUUUUAUGCAGUAGGAAAUCUCACAAGGAGGAAAGAAAGGUYGACUAUGACUGUAAGAGAAAUUCRUAAGUAGUAUUUUACUYGAUGUUGAGGGUCUUGUUGACCUUAAUCUUUAUGGCACCCUUUGUUGCAAACUUGCAAUUGUGGACCAGUUACUUCCAA